Molecule: long non-coding RNA, 381 nt
Filed under: Arachis ipaensis
Lineage: Eukaryota; Viridiplantae; Streptophyta; Magnoliopsida; Fabales; Fabaceae
Description: long non-coding RNA (AIPA_LNC000577)
Source: RNAcentral
UGUGCGCGAGAGAGAGAAAGAUCGACGAUGAGGAUAGAGACACGAUUUUAGGGUGGCCGACGACGACGAGGACAGAGGCGGCGACGCUAACAGCAGCUCCGAGCAUACCUGGCGAUGCGAGGUGAAGGGAUCUAGGAGAAGAGGAUAGCGACGGCGGGGCUUGACGUUGGCUAAGGAGAAGAGUUCGUCUGUGACGGCGGCGUUGGCCGUUGGCUGCUGCUGCUGGCUGUUUGGGAGAGAGAGAGAGAGGCUGCUAGGGUUUCUUCUGUGCGAGAAAAGAGAGAGAGCGAGAGGCUGGGUAGGUGUGUGAGACAGAGAGAAGGGGGAACUGGGGAAGGACUGCAUUUUGUUAAACUAUAUUUUUCUUUUUUUUUUUUUUUC